Molecule: ribosomal RNA, 262 nt
Filed under: uncultured archaeon
Lineage: Archaea
Description: partial 16S ribosomal RNA
Rfam family: Archaeal small subunit ribosomal RNA
Source: RNAcentral
AGGGUGUAAACGCUGCAGACUUGGUGUUGGAAGCCCUUUGGGGGCAUUCAGUGCCGGAGAGAAGUUGUUAAGUCUGCUACUUGGGGAGUACGUCCGCAAGGAUGAAACUUAAAGGAAUUGGCGGGGGAGCACCGCAACGGGAGGAGCGUGCGGUUUAAUUGGAUUCAACACCGUAAAACUCACCAGGGAAGACUGUUACAUGAAAGCCGAGAUGAAGACUCUGCUAGAUUUUUCAGAGAGGAGGUGCAUGGCGUCAGUGACU